AAAGGCCACCACGAAAGCCUUCUUAUUUAGUCUGAGCUUUCACAAUUCCAGGCUCUUGCCAGUCUCAGGAUUUUUCUCGUGAAUGAACCAGGAAGGUCCAAGACAUGUGGGCUUAAAGCCAUCCCUCACUGAUCCCUGCUAGCAGAUGAAUAUAUCGGAAGGUGAUGAGUACGAAGGAGCUUGGCUGCCAGCCAGGCGGUGUCGGAAAAGGAUGGGAAUUAUGUUGUUGUGAACCUAAAGCUGCUCCAGGAAAGUCUAUCGAAAAGUUAAAAACAUUUAAAUAAACAAAUAAAAGGAUGAGAAUGUUGAAAUGCUAAAA
Molecule: long non-coding RNA, 319 nt
Filed under: Homo sapiens (human)
Lineage: Eukaryota; Metazoa; Chordata; Mammalia; Primates; Hominidae
Description: HSALNT0357094
Source: RNAcentral